UACGGGAUGGCCGAGGAGUUAGGCGGAAGAUUGUAGGUCUUCUUACGGAAGAGGUUUCCUCCUGUGA
This 67-nucleotide transfer RNA is filed under the name Entemnotrochus rumphii. Its description in RNAcentral is "tRNA-Tyr". The record is from RNAcentral. Lineage: Eukaryota; Metazoa; Mollusca; Gastropoda; Pleurotomariida; Pleurotomariidae.